AAUCAACGCUGGCGGCGCGCUUAACACAUGCAAGUCGCACGAGAAAGGGAGCAAUCCUGAGUAAAGUGGCGUACGGGUGAGUAACACGUGGGAAUCUACCUCUUGGCGGGGAAUAACCCUGGGAAACCGGGGCUAAUACCGCAUAAGCUCGUAAGAGGAAAGCAGCAAUGCACCGAGAGAGGAGCCCGCGGCCGAUUAGCUAGUUGGUGGGGUAAUGGCUCACCAAGGCGAAGAUCGGUAGCCGGCCUGAGAGGGCACACGGCCACACUGGCACUGAAACACGGGCCAGACUCCUACGGGAGGCAGCAGUGGGGAAUCUUGCACAAUGGGGGAAACCCUGAUGCAGCGACGCCGCGUGAGCGAUGAAGCCCUUCGGGGUGUAAAGCUCUUUCGACAGGAACGAUAAUGACGGUACCUGGAGAAGAAGCUGCGGCUAACUACGUG
Molecule: ribosomal RNA, 444 nt
Filed under: uncultured bacterium
Lineage: Bacteria
Description: partial 16S ribosomal RNA
Rfam family: Bacterial small subunit ribosomal RNA
Source: RNAcentral